Molecule: transfer RNA, 74 nt
Filed under: Iningainema tapete BLCC-T55
Lineage: Bacteria; Bacillati; Cyanobacteriota; Cyanophyceae; Nostocales; Scytonemataceae
Rfam family: tRNA
About the family: Transfer RNA (tRNA) molecules are approximately 80 nucleotides in length. Their secondary structure includes four short double-helical elements and three loops (D, anti-codon, and T loops). Further hydrogen bonds mediate the characteristic L-shaped molecular structure. tRNAs have two regions of fundamental functional importance: the anti-codon, which is responsible for specific mRNA codon recognition, and the 3' end, to which the tRNAs corresponding amino acid is attached (by aminoacyl-tRNA synthetases). tRNAs cope with the degeneracy of the genetic code in two manners: having more than one tRNA (with a specific anti-codon) for a particular amino acid; and 'wobble' base-pairing, i.e. permitting non-standard base-pairing at the 3rd anti-codon position.
Source: Rfam by way of RNAcentral
GAUCGCGUAGUGUAACCGGAUAACAUUUCAGUCUACGAAACUGAAGAGUGAAGGUUCAAAUCCUUCCGCGAUCG